AGUUGGGGAUGUGCGCAAAUGUGAAAGUACAUAGAAAAGUAACGAACAUCGUUGGCACUAUUCAUACUACUUACCAAAUACCAAGUAGUUUCAAAGUUGUGAAGUCUCCAAGAGACAGUCACACAGUUUUCACGAAGAAAAGCCCGCACUGACCAGCCUCCGGGUUAUUUAGUCGUCGUGAGGCAACCAUCCCCAGCGCUCUAGAACAAAAUUCCUGUCAGAAGAAGCCAGCUCUGACCUUCAACCUUCAGCCGCCUGAUAGGAGACCCCGCCUCCAUCUUCCUUCCAAGAGUCGUGCGCCACAAACCUUCGAGACACUGGUGCCAAGACUAUAAAUAUAAUUACAAACGCUUGUAUAAUCUCUCUGAUAUCAAGUACCAAUUUGCUGCAAGAUGCUUAAGCGUGCUAGGUUUUAGUGGACUAUAUAGGUAGGUAGGUUAGAAUAGACAUAGUACGUAGUUGUAUGUGUAAAUAUGUAAAUAAAUCUGUCAACUUAUUUACCUUUGUGAGCGUGUCGUACGAGUAUCAUCGUGUGAAAUAGAUGAAAGUGUACCACUAGCGCGAAAGAGAUUUGUGUCGUCUGUGGUUAUAUAUGACACAGCAGAGAACACACAUGAAGAUCUGUGGGGUCGAGCGACGCACCGAAGAAACUUUGGGAAAAAGCAGGUCUUUUGUGGAUUCCAAGGUCGGCUGACUAGUGGAUGAGAAAAAAAACAAACAAAAAACGAGGUAAAUUAGACAACACAUCUGACAAACGAGAGCUAGAAUUUUAGCAGAAAAUUCUCCUUGGGAACUUCCGUUCUCUUCCGUGGAACACCAAAGAGGAACGGACUGACUUGGCGCCAGAGGCCAUGCACGGUGUUAGCGAGGAUCUUGUUCAGUCCGGCUACAAUUAAUAUCUUAAAGAGCGAAGGCAAAGUAUCAAAAAAAGUGAAACAUGACACGGCUAGAGCAAAUAAUUAAUUAGUGUUGUUUCAUCGGUCGAUUGUACUUCAUCAGCGACCAUUUACAAAAGUUACAUGUAUAUGAUGUAUGUAUGUUUACUCCUAACUGUGUGUUAAAUGUCUGUAUGGGUAUGUGAGCAAAGACAAAUUUCUGCCCUUGGUCUCCUGGGCAGACAAUAAAGUCUGUUUGUAUUUUGAUUUUGAUUUUGAUAUAAAACUAAGAUUUUUGUUUCCGACUGCUUGUGCUCUAUUGUAACUCUUUGCAGAAAUUAUUUUUGAAAAGAAUACCGUGGAUUUUAAGAGACCAUCCUUGUCUACCAUAGUAGGCGUGGUUGGUUGCUUAUUGUUUUCGCACUGUGACAGGUUGGUGCUGAUGGGGGAAGGCAUAACUCCCGACAGCCAGCCCUUCAAACAUAUGUCCCCUACAGAGUGUCUCAAGAGGAAAUCUGAAUCUGAACCCAGAGCCUCUCUCUGUCGUGGUGAUAAGCUAGGACUUUAAACACUGCAUUACCAGGCGCCCCCAAUUGGUCUUACCUGUAGUCAGUUUCACUUUAAAUCUUCAGUGGCAUAAAUAAUUAAAGCACGAUCAAGCAAAAUCGAAAAUGUCAACAACAAAAAACUUUUAUCAUGUGGUUUUAUUUUCAAAGUUCAAGUAAACGAACUUGAAUUUAUAGAUGUUCGAAGUCAUAGUUCAUGCAGAAGUGGCCUUAGCAGUUGGCAGGGCACUGCGGUACCCUGGGCGAGUGUCGUAUGCGGGGCUGAGAACUUAUAGAUUGUACCACAAGAAUCCCCUAUCGCGAUUGCCCCAGUUGCCACCCUCAAAAGUUACUUCUGGGUUCAUGGAAUGAAAGCAGAUAGGUCGAUUUUUUUCUUUUAGUUAAGACUUUUGUGGGUUUUGGCAAGUCUUAAUAGGUAGGUCUUAGUGUAAUAAUAUAAUCUGUUUUUCUUCCUUGUAGUCUUCACAAAAUACAACAUGAAGAUCAAUGACCAUCAUAACAUUUUAUUAAAGAUUGAAAAGCAAUUUACAGAAGCAUCUGUUUCCCAAGCAUCAUUUAUUUUGCAGUGGAUACAUUAUCUAAAUGACAGGCUAGCUUUAUUCUGAGUUUCUACCCACAUUUUGUUUAAUUUCGUGAUCAGAUAGACAAAUCCCACAUCACCAUCUACUCUACAUCUAUCAUCUCUCUUGCUUUCCAAACAAAGAUAACCCACAAGUCUGAAGUUUCGUACAAAAGAAACUUUUGUUUAACAGUUGUAAGUGAAUGAGAAACAUUUUCCCCCUCACAACCACAUUUUACUUCUACAAUUAAAUAAAAAAUGUUCAUGUGCCCUAUGCCUAGCAGCUUCAUCUAAGAGAACAUUAGAUGCUUAAAAGUGUUGAAACUAACUCAGAUAAUAACUUUUUAAAACAUUGUUUAAACACUGCCAAUUUAACAUAAGGUAUUAAAAUAUGCACAAGACAGAAACUUGAUGACCAAGGACUAAGUACAUGUACAGUCUCAACUUGCUAUCAUGCUGCCUGCUAUGUUGUCAACCAAGAUUUAAGCGGCACCUGAUGCAAAACAAAUUUCCUCCAAAGUUACCACUGAAUAUGAAUCAUAUUCCCCGUUUAUUUCACACCAAGCCUCUUACCCAUCAUUUGUGUUGGACAAAUGGUAGACAGAUAGCAAGUUGGGACUGUAGUGUGCCUGAUACAAAAAGUUAAAACUUGUGACAUCAAACAUAAGCAAGAAUAGUUUUAAAAAUAAAAACAAAUUUCACUAUGUAACACAGUAUGCAAAAAUGUACCUUGCAUACAUUUCCUGACAUGGCCAUUGACACUGCGCAUACGAAAGGCUACCAACCAAUGCAACACAAUCCUUACGUGUGCACUUAAAAAAACAUAAUUCAUACAAAGCAAGAUUCAGUUUUUUUUUAAGCUGCCAAAUAUGAAUUAAAAGAGAGCUAAUGCACAGUGUAGAUAGAUCAUGUGUUUUCUUUUGAAAGAAUUGAGUUCACAAAUCGAAGAUGAAUUGCAACUGUGCAUAGGUCCAAACAUAAU
Pomacea canaliculata is the source of this 2982-nucleotide long non-coding RNA. RefSeq lists it as uncharacterized. The record is from RefSeq and is a predicted model, not a curated record. The transcript has 2 exons. Lineage: Eukaryota; Metazoa; Mollusca; Gastropoda; Architaenioglossa; Ampullariidae.